CUGGCAGUAUUGGAUGUGGGUUAUCCCAUUGACACAGUUGUAAAAAGAAUUUGGGUCAUUAGGGUUGGUGUAAACCCCAUCACUCUUUCCAGCACAGGUACCUCCAUUAGCUGUAUCACAACUGGGUGGAGUUGUGGUUGUAAUGGGAGUUGUGGUACCUCCAUUAGCUGUAUCACAACUGGGUGGAGUUGUGGUUGUAAUGGGAGUUGUGGUGGUUGUAGUGGGAGUUGUGGUGGUCGUAGUGGGAGCUCUGGUGGUCGUAGUGGGAGCUCUGGUGGUUGUAGUGGGAGUUCUGGUGGUUGGAGUUGUGGUACCUCCAUUAGCUGUAUCACAACUGGGUGGAGUUGUGGUUGUAAUGGGAGUUGUGGUGGGUGCUGUGGUGGUCAUAGUGGGAGCUGCCGUGGUCGUAGAAGUGCCUGUAGGGUAAUCACAGCAUUUACAGCUUUCUUUAAAGACCAAACCUGUUUGGCAGUAUUGGAUGUGGGUUAUCCCGUGUCCGCAGUUGUAAAAAGUAUUUGGGUCAUUAGGGUUGGUGUAAACCCCAUCACUCUUUUCAGGACAGGAACCUCCACUAGCUGUACUCCUCACGGAGUAAAUCAGUUUGUCCCCCAUUUUUACAUUUGCUCAUUUCCAAUAAUUACCAACAUGUAAUUUCUUUUAAGACUGCGAUUCAUAUUUUAAACUUACCUAGGCUGGCGAUAAUCAAACAGAGAC
RNAcentral lists this long non-coding RNA (714 nucleotides) under Mastacembelus armatus (zig-zag eel). RNAcentral's name for it is "lncRNA (ENSMAMG00000027802.1)". Lineage: Eukaryota; Metazoa; Chordata; Actinopteri; Synbranchiformes; Mastacembelidae. The record is from RNAcentral.